Polyodon spathula (Mississippi paddlefish) is the source of this 396-nucleotide long non-coding RNA. RefSeq lists it as uncharacterized. The record is from RefSeq and is a predicted model, not a curated record. The transcript is spliced from 4 exons. NCBI's taxonomy places the organism in Eukaryota, Metazoa, Chordata, Actinopteri, Acipenseriformes, Polyodontidae.
GUAAAAACGCAUGCAUAUAUGUGUAAAUAAGGUAGUACCAGCUGUGAAGCUCAAAUAAAUAAAUAAAAAAAGAAAAAGCUGAGUUGAGCUGAGUUGACAGCUUUAGCGGGGUGUGUCUUAGUACUGCACUCAGAGCGAAACUCAGGAAGAACCAUGAUGAGUACAACAAUGGGACAAGUUGUGUAGAACAAGUAACAGUUUUAUUGAUGCCGUCUACAUCUUACAGAAGCAGGUGGGUAGCAGGAAAAGGAGCUGCCUGGUCCUUCUGAACUAAUCAAAUCUGGGAGAAGAAACAUGGCAGAGUGAUGCAGAAUAAAGAAGGGUCUAGCUGUCGGACGUGGUCGAUAAUUUUUGACGGGUUUCGGCCUUUUCUAUUUGACCCAGGGUAAGCCCCAC